CAGUAGCCCGGGAAUACGUAGGGUGCAAGCGUUAAUCGGAAUUACUGGGCGUAAAGCGUGCGCAGGCGGUUUGUUAAGACAGAUGUGAAAUCCCCGGGCUCAACCUGGGAACUGCAUUUGUGACUGGCAAGCUAGAGUGUGGCAGAGGGGGGUGGAAUUCCGCGUGUAGCAGUGAAAUGCGUAGAUAUGCGGAGGAACACCGAUGGCGAAGGCAGCCCCCUGGGCCAACACUGACGCUCAUGCACGAAAGCGUGGGGAGCAAACAGGAUUAGAUACCCCGGUAGUCCCUGUCUCUUAUACC
RNAcentral lists this ribosomal RNA (301 nucleotides) under uncultured bacterium. RNAcentral describes it as "partial 16S ribosomal RNA". It matches the Rfam family "Bacterial small subunit ribosomal RNA", at positions 509 to 808 of the family's 1533-position model. The record is from RNAcentral.